UACGAAGGGGGCGAGCGUUGUUCGGAAUCACUGGGCGUAAAGGGCGCGUAGGCGGCCCUCUUAGUCGCGUGUGAAAUCCCCCGGCUCAACCGGGGAAUUGCGCGCGAUACUGGCGGGCUAGAGAUCGGGAGGGGUGAGUGGAACUCCAGGUGGAGCGGUGAAAUGCGUAGAUAUCUGGAGGAACACCGGUGGCGAAAGCGACUCACUGGCCUGACACUGACACUGAGGUGCGAAAGCUAGGGUAGCAAACGGG
This 253-nucleotide ribosomal RNA is filed under the name uncultured bacterium. Its description in RNAcentral is "partial 16S ribosomal RNA". It matches the Rfam family "Bacterial small subunit ribosomal RNA", at positions 524 to 776 of the family's 1533-position model. The record is from RNAcentral.